This 433-nucleotide ribosomal RNA is filed under the name uncultured bacterium. RNAcentral describes it as "partial 16S ribosomal RNA". It matches the Rfam family "Bacterial small subunit ribosomal RNA", at positions 29 to 507 of the family's 1533-position model. The record is from RNAcentral.
AACGAACGCUGGCGGCAUGCCUAACACAUGCAAGUCGAACGAAGGCUUCGGCCUUAGUGGCGAACGGGUGCGUAACGCGUGGGAAUCUGCCCUUUGGUUCGGAAUAACAGCUGGAAACGGCUGCUAAUACCGGAUGAUGACGAAAGUCCAAAGAUUUAUCGCCAGAGGAUGAGCCCGCGUUGGAUUAGGUAGUUGGUGGGGUAAAGGCCUACCAAGCCGACGAUCCAUAGCUGGUCUGAGAGGAUGAUCAGCCACACUGGGACUGAGACACGGCCCAGACUCCUACGGGAGGCAGCAGUGGGGAAUAUUGGACAAUGGGCGCAAGCCUGAUCCAGCAAUGCCGCGUGAGUGAUGAAGGCCCUAGGGUUGUAAAGCUCUUUUACCCGGGAAGAUAAUGACUGUACCGGGAGAAUAAGCCCCGGCUAACUCCGUG